RNAcentral lists this ribosomal RNA (283 nucleotides) under Lepidotrigona sp. JM-2017. RNAcentral describes it as "partial large subunit ribosomal RNA". The record is from RNAcentral. Lineage: Eukaryota; Metazoa; Arthropoda; Insecta; Hymenoptera; Apidae.
CGAUAAGGACCCUAUAGAAUUUUAUACUAACAUUAAUUAGUACUUAAUAUUAUUUUAUUGCUAGUAUUUGAUUGGGAGGAUCAUUAAAUUUAAUAAACUUUAUAUUUCGAAUAACUUUAAUUAAAGAAAAUAUAAUGACCCUUAAUUUAAGACAGAUAGAGUAAAUUACCUUAGGGAUAACAGCGUAAUACUUUUUUAUAGACCAUAUAGAAAAAAGUGAUUGCGACCUCGAUGUUGAAUUAAGAUAAAUUUUAAAUGCAGGAGUUUAAUAAUUAAGUCUGUU